UACGGAGGGUGCAAGCGUUAAUCGGAAUUACUGGGCGUAAAGCGCACGCAGGCGGUUGAUUAAGUUGGAUGUGAAAUCCCCGGGCUUAACCUGGGAACUGCAUUCAAGACUGGUCAGCUAGAGUCUUGUAGAGGGGGGUAGAAUUCCAUGUGUAGCGGUGAAAUGCGUAGAGAUGUGGAGGAAUACCGGUGGCGAAGGCGGCCCCCUGGACAAAGACUGACGCUCAGGUGCGAAAGCGUGGGGAGCAAACAGG
RNAcentral lists this ribosomal RNA (253 nucleotides) under uncultured bacterium. RNAcentral describes it as "partial 16S ribosomal RNA". It matches the Rfam family "Bacterial small subunit ribosomal RNA", at positions 524 to 776 of the family's 1533-position model. The record is from RNAcentral.